This is a long non-coding RNA of Neofelis nebulosa (Clouded leopard), 633 nucleotides long. RefSeq lists it as uncharacterized. Lineage: Eukaryota; Metazoa; Chordata; Mammalia; Carnivora; Felidae. The record is from RefSeq and is a predicted model, not a curated record. The transcript has 3 exons.
UCUUCUCAGACCCAGUUUUGAGCUACGGUGAUGCUCCCUGCCCUGAGCGGGUGAGACAGAGGAGGUGUGACGGCCAGAGUGGCGGUGAGGAGAGGCAUCACAGCUCCAAGGAAAAGAAGUCAGUUAUUCCAUGGAGUCUGUGGGGCGUUAAGGGUGCCUUUUGCAAAUAUUUCUGCCUCAAAACAGCCUGCAGUCCGGUUCCUCCCUGCGGUGGGGCACCCUUCAGCUGAGACUUUUGCUGAAGUCUCCUCUCGGGGCUGGCCUCCCUGAUCCUCCACGAGACCAGAUGGGGCUCCCUUCGGUUGUCUCCGGAAACGCCCAGACAGCAGCUCAUCUCGGAGGAUGUUCAAGAGCAGCUGUGGGCUAUAACCAAGAGGAGUUAUCUUUGCAUUUUUCAUUGUUGCUUGAAGCAGAAACAAUGUAGACAUCAGUGUUGACGGAUGAUUGAAGAAAUUGGCACUAUACAAUUCAUUUGGUUAAGCUAAAAGGCUCCUCAAGUUCUCUUUAUGUUUUUCUAAUACCCUUAAACAGUAUUUUUAUAAGCAUGACAUACAAGUGUAUGGGGAUGAAAAGGAGCACAUAAAUAAAUGUGGGCUAUCCCUCACUUUAAAUAAAAGUCAUCCUGUGUUUAUA